RNAcentral lists this ribosomal RNA (728 nucleotides) under Stenotrophomonas sp. CCM-076. Its description in RNAcentral is "bacterial SSU rRNA". It matches the Rfam family "Bacterial small subunit ribosomal RNA", at positions 22 to 739 of the family's 1533-position model. The record is from RNAcentral. Lineage: Bacteria; Pseudomonadati; Pseudomonadota; Gammaproteobacteria; Lysobacterales; Lysobacteraceae.
GCUCAGAGUGAACGCUGGCGGUAGGCCUAACACAUGCAAGUCGAACGGCAGCACAGGAGAGCUUGCUCUCUGGGUGGCGAGUGGCGGACGGGUGAGGAAUACAUCGGAAUCUACUUUUUCGUGGGGGAUAACGUAGGGAAACUUACGCUAAUACCGCAUACGACCUACGGGUGAAAGCAGGGGAUCUUCGGACCUUGCGCGAUUGAAUGAGCCGAUGUCGGAUUAGCUAGUUGGCGGGGUAAAGGCCCACCAAGGCGACGAUCCGUAGCUGGUCUGAGAGGAUGAUCAGCCACACUGGAACUGAGACACGGUCCAGACUCCUACGGGAGGCAGCAGUGGGGAAUAUUGGACAAUGGGCGCAAGCCUGAUCCAGCCAUACCGCGUGGGUGAAGAAGGCCUUCGGGUUGUAAAGCCCUUUUGUUGGGAAAGAAAUCCAGCUGGUUAAUACCCGGUUGGGAUGACGGUACCCAAAGAAUAAGCACCGGCUAACUUCGUGCCAGCAGCCGCGGUAAUACGAAGGGUGCAAGCGUUACUCGGAAUUACUGGGCGUAAAGCGUGCGUAGGUGGUCGUUUAAGUCCGUUGUGAAAGCCCUGGGCUCAACCUGGGAACUGCAGUGGAUACUGGGCGACUAGAAUGUGGUAGAGGGUAGCGGAAUUCCUGGUGUAGCAGUGAAAUGCGUAGAGAUCAGGAGGAACAUCCAUGGCGAAGGCAGCUACCUGGACCAACA